GAACGAGAAAGCGGGGGCAACCCCGUGAGUAAAGUGGCGUACGGGUGAGUAACACGUAGCUAACCUACCCUUGAGUGGGGGAUAACCUGGGGAAACUCGGGCUAAUACCGCAUAGUAUUCCGAUGGCUGACGCUGUUGGGAGCAAAGGCCCGCAAGGGCCGCUCGAGGAGGGGGCUGCGGCCGAUUAGCUAGUUGGUGAGGUAAUGGCCCACCAAGACGAUGAUCUGUAUCCGGCCUGAGAGGGCGCACGGACACACUGGAACUGAAACACGGUCCAGACUCCUACGGGAGGCAGCAGUGGGGAAUUUUGCGCAAUGGGGGAAACCCUGACGCAGCAACGCCGCGUGGAGGAUGAAGUCCCUUGGGACGUAAACUCCUUUCGACCGGGACGAUUAUGACGGUACCGGAUGAAGAAGCCCCGGCUAACUUCGUGCCAGCAGCCGCGGUAAUACGAAGGGGGCGAGCGUUGUUCGGAAUUAUUGGGCGUAAAGGGUGCG
RNAcentral lists this ribosomal RNA (497 nucleotides) under uncultured bacterium. Its description in RNAcentral is "bacterial SSU rRNA". It matches the Rfam family "Bacterial small subunit ribosomal RNA", at positions 64 to 571 of the family's 1533-position model. The record is from RNAcentral.